GACGAACGCUGGCGGCGUGCUUAACACAUGCAAGUCGAACGGAAAGGCCCUGCUUUUGUGGGGUGCUCGAGUGGCGAACGGGUGAGUAACACGUGAGUAACCUGCCCUUGACUUUGGGAUAACUUCAGGAAACUGGGGCUAAUACCGGAUAGGAGCUCCUGCUGCAUGGUGGGGGUUGGAAAGUUUCGGCGGUUGGGGAUGGACUCGCGGCUUAUCAGCGUGUUGGUGGGGUAGUGGCUUACCAAGGCUUUGACGGGUAGCCGGCCUGAGAGGGUGACCGGCCACAUUGGGACUGAGAUACGGCCCAGACUCCUACGGGAGGCAGCAGUGGGGAAUAUUGCACAAUGGGCGGAAGCCUGAUGCAGCAACGCCGCGUGCGGGAUGACGGCCUUCGGGUUGUAAACCGCUUUCGCCUGUGACGAAGCGUGAGUGACGGUAAUGGGUAAAGAAGCACUGGCUAACUACGUG
This 468-nucleotide ribosomal RNA is filed under the name uncultured bacterium. Its description in RNAcentral is "partial 16S ribosomal RNA". It matches the Rfam family "Bacterial small subunit ribosomal RNA", at positions 28 to 507 of the family's 1533-position model. The record is from RNAcentral.